Molecule: ribosomal RNA, 401 nt
Filed under: uncultured bacterium
Lineage: Bacteria
Description: bacterial SSU rRNA
Rfam family: Bacterial small subunit ribosomal RNA
Source: RNAcentral
GGGGAAUCUUGCACAAUGGGGGCAACCCUGAUGCAGCGACGCCGCGUGAGCGAUGAAGCCCUUCGGGGCGUAAAGCUCUUUCGACCGGAACGAUAAUGACGGUACCGGGAGAAGAAGCUGCGGCUAACUACGUGCCAGCAGCCGCGGUAAUACGUAGGCAGCAAGCGUUGUUCGGAGUUACUGGGCGUGAAGAGUGCGUAGGCGGUUUUCUAAGUUCGGUGUGAAAUCUCCCGGCUUAACUGGGAGGGUGCGCCGAAGACUGGGAAGCUGGAGUGUGGGAAAGGCAGGCGGAAUUCCUGGUGUAGCGGUGAAAUGCGUAGAUAUCAGGAGGAACACCGGCGGUGUAGACGGCUUGCUAGACCAUAACUGACGCUGAGGCACGAAAGCGUGGGCAGCAUACA